Molecule: transfer RNA, 73 nt
Filed under: Lepeophtheirus salmonis (salmon louse)
Lineage: Eukaryota; Metazoa; Arthropoda; Copepoda; Siphonostomatoida; Caligidae
Also listed under: 1 other name
Description: transfer RNA arginine (anticodon UCG)
Rfam family: tRNA
About the family: Transfer RNA (tRNA) molecules are approximately 80 nucleotides in length. Their secondary structure includes four short double-helical elements and three loops (D, anti-codon, and T loops). Further hydrogen bonds mediate the characteristic L-shaped molecular structure. tRNAs have two regions of fundamental functional importance: the anti-codon, which is responsible for specific mRNA codon recognition, and the 3' end, to which the tRNAs corresponding amino acid is attached (by aminoacyl-tRNA synthetases). tRNAs cope with the degeneracy of the genetic code in two manners: having more than one tRNA (with a specific anti-codon) for a particular amino acid; and 'wobble' base-pairing, i.e. permitting non-standard base-pairing at the 3rd anti-codon position.
Source: Rfam by way of RNAcentral
GGCCGUGUGGCCUAAUGGAUAAGGCAUCAGACUUCGGAUCUGAGGAUUGCAGGUUCGAGUCCUGUCACGGUCG